UUCGCCUGUUUUUCAAAAACAUGGUUUUUUGUUGGAAUAAAAAAUCUAAUCUGCCCAAUGAUUAAGAAUUGAAUGGCCGCGGUAUAUUGACCGUGCGAAGGUAGCAUAAUCAUUUGCUUUUUAAUUGGAGGCUGGAAUGAAUGAUUUGACGGAAAAGGUCUGUCUUAAUUUUAAGUUUUUAAGUUUACUUUUUAGUGAGAAGGCUAAAAUGUUAUCAAGGGACGAGAAGACCCUAUUAAGCUUUAUUUUUAUUAUUUUUUUGUUUUAUGUUUUCAUAUACAAAAAAUAGUGAAAAUUUUACUGGGGCGGUAGAGAAAGAGAAAGAUCUUUUUUUAAAAAUUAAAACAUUUAUGUUAAUUUUUGAUCCAUUAUUAAUGAUAAAAAGAAGAAGUUACUAUAGGGAUAACAGCGUAAUUUUUUCGGAGAGUUCAUAUCGGCGAAGAAGUUUGCGACCUCGAUGUUGAAUUAAAGAGUCAGUAAGGCGAAGAAGUUUUAUAUGAGGGUCUGUCGACUAAUUCC
RNAcentral lists this ribosomal RNA (519 nucleotides) under Carcinoscorpius rotundicauda (Southeast Asian horseshoe crab). Its description in RNAcentral is "partial large subunit ribosomal RNA". It matches the Rfam family "Bacterial large subunit ribosomal RNA", at positions 1795 to 2595 of the family's 2925-position model. The record is from RNAcentral. Lineage: Eukaryota; Metazoa; Arthropoda; Merostomata; Xiphosura; Limulidae.